Molecule: RNase P RNA, 366 nt
Filed under: Nocardioides marmorisolisilvae
Lineage: Bacteria; Bacillati; Actinomycetota; Actinomycetes; Propionibacteriales; Nocardioidaceae
Description: Bacterial RNase P class A
Rfam family: Bacterial RNase P class A
About the family: Ribonuclease P (RNase P) is a ubiquitous endoribonuclease, found in archaea, bacteria and eukarya as well as chloroplasts and mitochondria. Its best characterised activity is the generation of mature 5'-ends of tRNAs by cleaving the 5'-leader elements of precursor-tRNAs. Cellular RNase Ps are ribonucleoproteins.
Source: Rfam by way of RNAcentral
UGGGCUGGCCGGGCGACCGCGUUGGGGAAACCCACCGAGGAAGGUCCGGGCUCCACAGGGCAGGGUGGUGGCUAACGGCCACCCGAGGUGACUCGCGGGAAAGUGCCACAGAAAACAGACCGCCUCUUCGGAGGUAAGGGUGAAACGGUGGUGCAAGAGACCACCAGCGCGGCGGGCGACCGUCGCGGCUCGGCAAACCCCACCUGGAGCAAGAUCAGACAGUGAGCGUUCGAGGGCGGCCCGCCCGAGCUCACGGGUAGAUCGCAGGACGGUGUCGGCAACGGCACCGCUAGAUGGAUGGUCGCCAGCCGGGUCGUCGUGAGGCGGCCCGGGGAACAGAACCCGGCCUACGAGCCAGCCCAUCCG